GGCCCAGACUCCUACGGGAGGCAGCAGUGAGGAAUAUUGGUCAAUGGGCGGAAGCCUGAACCAGCCAAGUCGCGUGAGGGAAGAAGGCCCUGCGGGUCGCAGACCUCUUUGGACGGGGAGCAAGGCCGCCGACGUGUCGGCGGAAGGAGAGUACCCGUAGAACAAGCAUCGGCUAACUACGUGCCAGCAGCCGCGGUAAUACGUAGGGAGCGAGCGUUAUCCGGAAUUAUUGGGCGUAAAGGGUGCGUAGAUGGCAUAGUAAGUCUUUUGUAAAAAUGCUGGGCUCAACCCAGUAGGGCAAAAGAUACUGCAAAGCUAGAGUAUGACAGAGGCAAGUGGAACUACAUGUGUAGCGGUAAAAUGCGUAAAUAUAUGUAAGAACACCAGUGGCGAAGGCGGCUUGCUGGGUCGAUACUGACAUUGAGGCACGAAAGCGUGGGGAGCAAACAGGAUUAGAUACCCCAGUAG
RNAcentral lists this ribosomal RNA (468 nucleotides) under uncultured bacterium. RNAcentral describes it as "bacterial SSU rRNA". It matches the Rfam family "Bacterial small subunit ribosomal RNA", at positions 328 to 793 of the family's 1533-position model. The record is from RNAcentral.